This 518-nucleotide ribosomal RNA is filed under the name Yarrowia lipolytica. Its description in RNAcentral is "partial large subunit ribosomal RNA". It matches the Rfam family "Eukaryotic large subunit ribosomal RNA", at positions 54 to 654 of the family's 3401-position model. Lineage: Eukaryota; Fungi; Ascomycota; Dipodascomycetes; Dipodascales. The record is from RNAcentral.
AGGAAAAGGAACCAACAGGGAUUGCCUCAGUAACGGCGAGUGAAGCGGCAAAAGCUCAAAUUUGAAACCCUCGGGAUUGUAAUUUGAAGAUUUGGCAUUGGAGAAAGCUAACCCAAGUUGCUUGGAAUAGUACGUCAUAGAGGGUGACAACCCCGUCUGGCUAACCGUUCUCCAUGUAUUGCCUUAUCAAAGAGUCGAGUUGUUUGGGAAUGCAGCUCAAAGUGGGUGGUAAACUCCAUCUAAAGCUAAAUACUGGUGAGAGACCGAUAGCGAACAAGUACUGUGAAGGAAAGGUGAAAAGAACUUUGAAAAGAGAGUGAAAUAGUAUGUGAAAUUGUUGAUAGGGAAGGAAAUGAGUGGAGAGUGGCCGAGGUUUCAGCCGCCCCUCGUGGGCGGUGUACUGCCGACGCCGAGUCAUCGAUAGCGAGACGAGGGUUACAAAUGGGAGCGCCUUCGGGCGUUCUCCCCUAACCCUCCACACUGCCACCGACGACAUAAUCCACCCAUUUCACCCGUCC